UACAGCGGUCCCGAGCGUUGUUCGGAUUCAUUGGGCGUACAGGGUGCGUAGGCGGCGGGGAAAGUCUGAUGUGAAAUCCUGGGGCUCAACCCUGGAACUGCAUUGGAUACUUCCUUGCUAGAGUACUGGAGAGGAAACUGGAAUUUACGGUGUAGCAGUGAAAUGCGUAGAGAUCGUAAGGAAGACCAGUGGCGAAGGCGAGUUUCUGGACAGUUACUGACGCUGAGGAGCGAAAGCAUGGGGAGCGAACAGG
RNAcentral lists this ribosomal RNA (253 nucleotides) under uncultured bacterium. Its description in RNAcentral is "partial 16S ribosomal RNA". It matches the Rfam family "Bacterial small subunit ribosomal RNA", at positions 524 to 776 of the family's 1533-position model. The record is from RNAcentral.